GAAACAAUUGGAGAAGGAAUAGUAAAUCGAGCUUGAGACUACGAGUAAACCUUGAAAAUAGAGAAUGCUAUUACUGUCAUCAAAAGGAUCACAUUCAGUACCAUUGUAUGAAAAUGAAGGAAGAUCUUGCAGAAUUUAAACAAUUUAAGAAAAGUCAUGGAAAAGAAUAACAAGGAACUACAGUAAUUGCAAUGGAUAAUGGUGUUAAUGGUGAAAUUUUGAAUGUGGAUGAUGAUAAGGAGAAAGUAAAAGAUCCAUUAUAAGAUGAGUGGUUAAUGAAUUCUGUUUACCCAUUCCAUAUUUGCUCAAAGAAUGAGUAGUUUAAUGUAAUUGAACGAGAAAGAGUGAAGCCAGCUAAUGGGAACAAGAUAAAAGUUGAAAGCAUUGGAAGAGUGAAGAUCAAACUGCAUGGUGAUCGUGUAAAAGUGUUCGAUGAAGUGAUAUACGUUCUUAAAUUAGAAAGAAACUUAAUUUCCUUGGAUAAGUUGGAUUUUUUGGAUUAUAGGUGUUCAAUUCAUGGUGAAAUCAUGAGAGUUAGCCAAGUUGCUUUUGUGAUCAUGAAGGGUGAGAAAAUUAGUAUAAAGAAUUUCUACAAAUUGGAAGGAAGGACAUUGAUUGGAAGAAUACAAGUGAAAGCAAGAGGCAAUAUCAACAAUCAAGAGUGCAAGAAAGUACCAAGAGAAAACUGACUUUAGCAAAAAUUGUGAAGACUAAUUCUAUUUGACUCGGAGGUGGAGAUUGUUAGAGUUCAAGUCCAAUUGGAAUUAGGAAGUGUAAUUAAUUUAGGAAGUGUAAUUAGUUUAGGAAGUUUAGUAG
Molecule: unclassified non-coding RNA, 816 nt
Filed under: Hevea brasiliensis (rubber tree)
Lineage: Eukaryota; Viridiplantae; Streptophyta; Magnoliopsida; Malpighiales; Euphorbiaceae
Source: RNAcentral